RNAcentral lists this ribosomal RNA (482 nucleotides) under uncultured bacterium. RNAcentral's name for it is "bacterial SSU rRNA". It matches the Rfam family "Bacterial small subunit ribosomal RNA", at positions 30 to 507 of the family's 1533-position model. The record is from RNAcentral.
AUUGAACGCUGGCGGCAUGCCUUACACAUGCAAGUCGAACGGUAACAGGUCUUCGGAUGCUGACGAGUGGCGAACGGGUGAGUAAUACAUCGGAACGUGCCCGAGAGUGGGGGAUAACGAAGCGAAAGCUUUGCUAAUACCGCAUACGAUCUCAGGAUGAAAGCAGGGGACCGCAAGGCCUUGCGCUCACGGAGCGGCCGAUGGCAGAUUAGGUAGUUGGUGGGAUAAAAGCUUACCAAGCCGACGAUCUGUAGCUGGUCUGAGAGGACGACCAGCCACACUGGGACUGAGACACGGCCCAGACUCCUACGGGAGGCAGCAGUGGGGAAUUUUGGACAAUGGGCGCAAGCCUGAUCCAGCCAUGCCGCGUGCAGGAUGAAGGCCUUCGGGUUGUAAACUGCUUUUGUACGGAACGAAAAGACUCUGGUUAAUACCUGGGGUCCAUGACGGUACCGUAAGAAUAAGCACCGGCUAACUACGUG